This 445-nucleotide ribosomal RNA is filed under the name Ontherus diabolicus. Its description in RNAcentral is "partial 16S ribosomal RNA". The record is from RNAcentral. Lineage: Eukaryota; Metazoa; Arthropoda; Insecta; Coleoptera; Scarabaeidae.
CAUGUCUUUUUGAUUAUAAUUUAAAGUCUGACCUGCCCUAUGAAUAUUUAAAUGGCUGCGGUACUUUGACCGUGCAAAGGUAGCAUAAUAAUUAGUUUUUUAAUUGGGAACUGGAAUGAAUGGUUGGACGAGAUAAAGACUGUCUCAAUUUAAUUUUAAUUAGAAUUUUAUUUUUAAGUUAAAAAGCUUAAAUAAUUUUAAAAGACGAGAAGACCCUAUAGAGUUUUAUAUAUAAAUAUAUUGUUUGGAGGUAUAGUAAUUAAAUUUUAAUUAUAUUUUUAUAUAUUUGGUUGGGGCGAUUGAAAAAUUUAAUUAACUUUUUUUAAUAUUUUAACAUUGAUAUAUGAUUGAUUGAUCCAUUUUUUAUGAUUAUAAGAUUAAAUUACCUUAGGGAUAACAGCGUAAUUUUUUUUUAGAGUUCUUAUCGAAAAAAAAGUUUGCGACC